This 454-nucleotide long non-coding RNA is filed under the name Zonotrichia albicollis (white-throated sparrow). RNAcentral's name for it is "lncRNA (ENSZALG00000017952.1)". The record is from RNAcentral. Lineage: Eukaryota; Metazoa; Chordata; Aves; Passeriformes; Passerellidae.
GGCUCUUGGUUUCUGUGUGCAUUUCCAGAAGCCUGCAGGGCUCCUAGGAGAAUAUGUUUGCCAUUUCUGAUGGGGAUAUCCCAGCUUCCCAUUUGCACUGGACAUCGCUCUAUAACCUCGUAAAUCCGUUCCUGCAUAAACACAGAUGCAGUAAUGUAUACAGGCACAUAAAUUGGACACAUAUCUAUAAAUAUCAAAGGAAAGAAGGAAGCAACUGCUCACACACAUACGACCCCAAGUUACAAGAGUGGCACCAGUGACCACCCUGCUGAUACCCAGAACUUGGAUUGUACAAAGGUGGUACUCCCAGAAGAAUGAGUCAGGGACCACAUUCACCAUUGAGAAGCCCAGGGUGAAGAAGGACCAACUGGCUCCACAGGUGGUGACUGUCUUCUACUUGAUAUCUCUCUCCUUCUCUUCUCUCUCCCCCUCUUUCCUACUUCUUUCUCUCUAC